UGACAUGGCCGUGGGGGCACAUUAGGGCGUUGUAAGGCCUCUCCCCCAAUCCAAUUUUGAGAUAGUCGGACUUUCAUUUUAGGUAUGUUAGGAUGGGGUUCUCCCCCCGCUCCUAACAUAACUUCGUUUCAGGCAUUUGGAGGGGUCAUAUUCAGUCAUGACAAAUCCAUGCCAGAUGGGAAGAGUACGUCAAGUAGAAAGAAAUUUAGAUUCAAGGUGAAAUCGUAAGUGAUACAUUUACAGAUUUUUCGAGUUCCACGGUUGCAGGAGGUCUGCUCCUCCUUGAGGCCCUCCGGUGAUGGAGUCGAUGGUCCCGAUGGGGGGCCGGUCCCCGGGUUGCUCCUCCCUUCUUGGCGGUUCAGGCUACGGAAGGGCCCUUGGCCGAUCUCCUCUACCCUCAGGCC
Molecule: long non-coding RNA, 404 nt
Filed under: Elaeis guineensis (African oil palm)
Lineage: Eukaryota; Viridiplantae; Streptophyta; Magnoliopsida; Arecales; Arecaceae
Description: long non-coding RNA (EGUI_LNC071480)
Source: RNAcentral